CGUGGGGUAGGGGAGCGUUCUGUAAGCCGUUGAAGGUGGUCUGUAAGGGCUGCUGGAGGUAUCAGAAGUGCGAAUGCUGACAUGAGUAACGAUAAAGGGAGUGAAAAACUCCCUCGCCGGAAGACCAAGGGUUCCUGUCCAACGUUAAUCGGGGCAGGGUAAGUCGACCCCUAAGGCGAGGCCGAAAGGCGUAGUCGAUGGGAAACGGGUUAAUAUUCCCGUACUUCUUACAAUUGCGAUGGGGGGACGGAGAAGGCUAGGUGGGCCUGGCGACGGUUGUCCAGGUUCAAGUACGUAGGCGGAAGAAUUAGGUAAAUCCGGUUCUUCAUUAACGCUGAGAUACGAUGUCGAGCUACUACGGUAGUGAAGUCAUUGAUGCCAUGCUUCCAGGAAAAGCCUCUAAGCUUCAGAUUGUAAGGAAUCGUACCCCAAACCGACACAGGUGGUCGGGUAGAGAAUACCAAGGCGCUUGAGAGAACUCGGGUGAAGGAACUAGGCAAAAUGGUACCGUAACUUCGGGAGAAGGUACGCUCUUAUCAGUGAAGUCCCUUGCGGAUGGAGCAGACGAGAGUCGCAGAUACCAGGUGGCUGCAACUGUUUAUUAAAAACACAGCACUGUGCAAAAUCGUAAGAUGACGUAUACGGUGUGACGCCUGCCCGGUGCCGGAAGGUUAAUUGAUGGGGUUAGACUUCGGUCGAAGCUCUUGAUCGAAGCCCCGGUAAACGGCGGCCGUAACUAUAACGGUCCUAAGGUAGCGAAAUUCCUUGUCGGGUAAGUUCCGACCUGCACGAAUGGCGUAAUGAUGGCCACGCUGUCUCCACCCGAGACUCAGUGAAAUUGAAAUCGCUGUGAAGAUGCAGUGUACCCGCGGCUAGACGGAAAGACCCCGUGAACCUUUACUACAGCUUGGCACUGAACAUUGAACCUACAUGUGUAGGAUAGGUGGGAGACUUUGAAACCGCGUCGCUAGAUGUGGUGGAGUCGUCCUUGAAAUACCACCCUUGUAGUUUUGAUGUUCUAACGUUGGUCCCUGAAUCGGGAUUACGGACAGUGCCUGGUGGGUAGUUUGACUGGGGCGGUCUCCUCCCAAAGAGUAACGGAGGAGCACGAAGGUGGGCUAAACACGGUUGGACAUCGUGUGGUUAGUGCAAUGGCAUAAGCCCGCUUGACUGCGAGAAUGACAAUUCGAGCAGGUGCGAAAGCAGGUCAUAGUGAUCCGGUGGUUCUGAAUGGAAGGGCCAUCGCUCAACGGAUAAAAGGUACUCCGGGGAUAACAGGCUGAUACCGCCCAAGAGUUCAUAUCGACGGCGGUGUUUGGCACCUCGAUGUCGGCUCAUCACAUCCUGGGGCUGAAGUCGGUCCCAAGGGUAUGGCUGUUCGCCAUUUAAAGUGGUACGCGAGCUGGGUUUAGAACGUCGUGAGACAGUUCGGUCCCUAUCUGCCGUGGGCGUUGGAAAAUUGAAGGGGGCUGCUCCUAGUACGAGAGGACCGGAGUGGACGAACCUCUGGUGUUCGGGUUGUCAUGCCAAUGGCAUUGCCCGGUAGCUAAGUUCGGAAUCGAUAACCGCUGAAAGCAUCUAAGCGGGAAGCGAGCCCUGAGAUGAGUUUUCCCUGACGCUUUAAGCGUCCUAAAGGGUUGUUCAAGACUAGAACGUUGAUAGGCAGGGUGUGUAAGCGCUGUGAGGCGUUGAGCUAACCUGUACUAAUUGCCCGUGAGGCUUAACCAU
This 1728-nucleotide ribosomal RNA is filed under the name Vibrio chagasii. RNAcentral describes it as "ribosomal RNA 23s ribosomal RNA". It matches the Rfam family "Bacterial large subunit ribosomal RNA", at positions 1222 to 2925 of the family's 2925-position model. Lineage: Bacteria; Pseudomonadati; Pseudomonadota; Gammaproteobacteria; Vibrionales; Vibrionaceae. The record is from RNAcentral.